Molecule: ribosomal RNA, 449 nt
Filed under: uncultured Lactobacillus sp.
Lineage: Bacteria; Bacillati; Bacillota; Bacilli; Lactobacillales; Lactobacillaceae
Description: bacterial SSU rRNA
Rfam family: Bacterial small subunit ribosomal RNA
Source: RNAcentral
UAGCGGCGACGGGUGAGUAACACGUGGGUAACCUGCCCAAGAGAUCGGGGAUACACCUGGAAACAGAUGCUAAUACCGGAUAACAACAGAUGAUGCCUAUCAACUGUUUAAAAGAUGGUUCUGCUAUCACUCUUGGGAUGGACCUGCGGUGCAUUAGCUAGUUGGUAGGGGUAACGGCCUACCAAGGCGAUGAUGCAUAGCCGAGUUGAGAGACUGAUCGGCCACAUUGGGACUGAGACACGGCCCAAACUCCUACGGGAGGCAGCAGUAGGGGAAUCUUCCACAAUGGACGCAAGUCCGAUGGAGCAAACGCCGCGUGAGUGAAGAAGGGUUUCGGCUCGUAAAGCUCUGUUGUUGGUGAAGAAGGACAGGGGGUAGUAACCGACCUUUGUUUGACGGUAAUCAAUUAGAAAGUCACGGCUAACUACGUGCCAGCAGCCGCGGUAAAU